RNAcentral lists this ribosomal RNA (735 nucleotides) under uncultured Fusobacterium sp. RNAcentral describes it as "bacterial SSU rRNA". It matches the Rfam family "Bacterial small subunit ribosomal RNA", at positions 28 to 776 of the family's 1533-position model. Lineage: Bacteria; Fusobacteriati; Fusobacteriota; Fusobacteriia; Fusobacteriales; Fusobacteriaceae. The record is from RNAcentral.
GAUGAACGCUGACAGAAUGCUUAACACAUGCAAGUCUACUUGAAUUUGGGUUUUUAACUUAGGUUUGGGUGGCGGACGGGUGAGUAACGCGUAAAGAACUUGCCUCACAGCUAGGGACAACAUUUAGAAAUGAAUGCUAAUACCUAAUAUUAUGAUAAUAGGGCAUCCUAUAAUUAUGAAAGCUAUAUGCGCUGUGAGAGAGCUUUGCGUCCCAUUAGCUAGUUGGAGAGGUAACGGCUCACCAAGGCGAUGAUGGGUAGCCGGCCUGAGAGGGUGAUCGGCCACAAGGGGACUGAGACACGGCCCUUACUCCUACGGGAGGCAGCAGUGGGGAAUAUUGGACAAUGGACCGAGAGUCUGAUCCAGCAAUUCUGUGUGCACGAUGAAGUUUUUCGGAAUGUAAAGUGCUUUCAGUUGGGAAGAAAGAAAUGACGGUACCAACAGAAGAAGUGACGGCUAAAUACGUGCCAGCAGCCGCGGCAAUACGUAUGUCACGAGCGUUAUCCGGAUUUAUUGGGCGUAAAGCGCGUCUAGGUGGUUAUAUAAGUCUGAUGUGAAAAUGCAGGGCUCAACUCUGUAUUGCGUUGGAAACUGUAUAACUAGAGUACUGGAGAGGUAAGCGGAACUACAAGUGCAGAGGUGAAAUUCGUAGAUAUUUGUAGGAAUGCCGAUGGGGAAGCCAGCUUACUGGACAGAUACUGACGCUGAAGCGCGAAAGCGUGGGUAGCAAACAGG